This 465-nucleotide ribosomal RNA is filed under the name Pasture soil clone HPS-52. Its description in RNAcentral is "bacterial SSU rRNA". It matches the Rfam family "Bacterial small subunit ribosomal RNA", at positions 29 to 488 of the family's 1533-position model. The record is from RNAcentral.
CAUGAACGCUGGCGGCAUGCCUUACACAUGCAAGUCGAACGGCAGCACGGGGGCAACCCUGGUGGCGAGUGGCGAACGGGUGAGUAAUACAUCGGAACGUGUCCUGUAGUGGGGGAUAGCCCGGCGAAAGCCGGAUUAAUACCGCAUACGCUCUACGGAGGAAAGGGGGGGAUCUUAGGACCUCUCGCUACAGGGGCGGCCGAUGGCAGAUUAGCUAGUUGGUGGGGUAAAGGCCUACCAAGGCGACGAUCUGUAGCUGGUCUGAGAGGACGACCAGCCACACUGGGACUGAGACACGGCCCAGACUCCUACGGGAGGCAGCAGUGGGGAAUUUUGGACAAUGGGCGCAAGCCUGAUCCAGCAAUGCCGCGUGUGUGAAGAAGGCCUUCGGGUUGUAAAGCACUUUUGUCCGGAAAGAAAACCUCUGCCCUAAUACGGCGGGGGGAUGACGGUACCGGAAGAAUA